GCUACCAUGCAGUCGAGCGGAACGACACUAACAAUCCUUCGGGUGCGUUAAUGGGCGUCGAGCGGCGGACGGGUGAGUAAUGCCUAGGAAAUUGCCUUGAUGUGGGGGAUAACCAUUGGAAACGAUGGCUAAUACCGCAUAAUGCCUACGGGCCAAAGAGGGGGACCUUCGGGCCUCUCGCGUCAAGAUAUGCCUAGGUGGGAUUAGCUAGUUGGUGAGGUAAUGGCUCACCAAGGCGACGAUCCCUAGCUGGUCUGAGAGGAUGAUCAGCCACACUGGAACUGAGACACGGUCCAGACUCCUACGGGAGGCAGCAA
Molecule: ribosomal RNA, 317 nt
Filed under: uncultured Vibrio sp.
Lineage: Bacteria; Pseudomonadati; Pseudomonadota; Gammaproteobacteria; Vibrionales; Vibrionaceae
Description: bacterial SSU rRNA
Rfam family: Bacterial small subunit ribosomal RNA
Source: RNAcentral